AUGGAAAGAAUUUUGUCUGAUUUAGCACAUUUUCAUAUAACUGUUAUAACUGUUUUAUCUGGCUUUAAGAAUGUAUCUAAUCAUGAUUUUUUUGAGGGGAAUAACCUGUAUUUUUGUACUUUUAUAGGCCAGAGGGAGGAACCAACAGCUUGGAAAUUCAACCACGUGAUCUGGCGGGAUGGGCAUUUUCCUGACCUACUUUGUAGAGGCCCAAGGUCCCUUAUUUUAGGAAGACCCCAAAUCCUCUCCUGUCUUGUUGGGCUAUGUUGGUACAUGUAUUAGACCUGUGCUUUUAUCUUUCAAAGUGAAAGAAAAUUAAACAUGAAGUUUUCAGGGUAAUUACAUGUGGCACAUGUUCUCAUGUCAUUAUUAAUGAUCAUAACAGUUCUAAGAUUCUCAUCUUCACCAGACACUAGCUCAAAUCCAGUUCUUGAUCUUGGAUUUCCAGCUUGUGGAACUGUGAGAAGUAAAUGCAUGUUUAAGCUACCUGGUCUUGGAUAUUUUUAUUUCAGCAAGGAGCCUGUUCUUAAUCUGUGUGUAUCCACGCUAUAUGCCUGGAUGAUCACAGUGAACAUUCCUCUGGUCUUCAGUUCAGUUCAGUUCAGUCGCUCAGUCGUGUCUGACUCUUUGCG
This 632-nucleotide long non-coding RNA is filed under the name Capra hircus (goat). RNAcentral's name for it is "lncRNA (ENSCHIG00010009395.1)". The record is from RNAcentral. Lineage: Eukaryota; Metazoa; Chordata; Mammalia; Artiodactyla; Bovidae.